UGAAGGAGCUUGCUCCUGAUUGAUAAACAUUUGAGUGAGUGGCGGACGGGUGAGUAACACGUGGGUAACCUGCCCUAAAGUGGGGGAUAACAUUUGGAAACAGAUGCUAAUACCGCAUAAAACCUAACACCGCAUGGUGUAGGGUUGAAAGAUGGUUUCGGCUAUCACUUUAGGAUGGACCCGCGGUGCAUUAGUUAGUUGGUGAGGUAAAGGCUCACCAAGACCGUGAUGCAUAGCCGACCUGAGAGGGUAAUCGGCCACACUGGGACUGAGACACGGCCCAGACUCCUACGGGAGGCAGCAGUAGGGAAUCUUCCACAAUGGACGAAAGUCUGAUGGAGCAACGCCGCGUGAGUGAAGAAGGUUUUCGGAUCGUAAAACUCUGUUGUUGGAGAAGAUGUAUCUGAUAGUAACUGAUCAGGUAGUGACGGUAUCCAACCAGAAAGCCACGGCUAACUACGUGCCAGCAGCCGCGGUAAUACGUAGGUGGCAAGCGUUGUCCGGAUUUAUUGGGCGUAAAGCGAGCGCAGGCGGUUUCUUAAGUCUGAUGUGAAAGCCUUCGGCUCAACCGAAGAAGUGCAUCGGAAACUGGGAAACUUGAGUGCAGAAGAGGACAGUGGAACUCCAUGUGUAGCGGUGAAAUGCGUAGAUAUAUGGAAGAACACCAGUGGCGAAGGCGGCUGUCUGGUCUGUAACUGACGCUGAGGCUCGAAAGCAUGGGUAGCAAACAGGAUUAGAUACCCUGGUAGUCCAUGCCGUAAACGAUGAGUGCUAGGUGUUGGAGGGUUUCCGCCCUUCAGUGCCGCAGCUAACGCAUUAAGCACUCCGCCUGGGGAGUACGACCGCAAGGUUGAAACUCAAAGGAAUUGACGGGGGCCCGCACAAGCGGUGGAGCAUGUGGUUUAAUUCGAAGCAACGCGAAGAACCUUACCAGGUCUUGACAUCCUUUGACCACUCUAGAGAUAGAGCUUUCCCUUCGGGGACAAAGUGACAGGUGGUGCAUGGUUGUCGUCAGCUCGUGUCGUGAGAUGUUGGGUUAAGUCCCGCAACGAGCGCAACCCUUAUUACUAGUUGCCAGCAUUUAGUUGGGCACUCUAGUGAGACUGCCGGUGACAAACCGGAGGAAGGUGGGGACGACGUCAAAUCAUCAUGCCCCUUAUGACCUGGGCUACACACGUGCUACAAUGGAUGGUACAACGAGUUGCGAGACCGCGAGGUUUAGCUAAUCUCUUAAAACCAUUCUCAGUUCGGAUUGUAGGCUGCAACUCGCCUACAUGAAGCCGGAAUCGCUAGUAAUCGCGGAUCAGCAUGCCGCGGUGAAUACGUUCCCGGGCCUUGUACACACCGCCCGUCACACCAUGAGAGUUUGUAACACCCAAAGCCGG
RNAcentral lists this ribosomal RNA (1385 nucleotides) under Latilactobacillus sakei. RNAcentral's name for it is "bacterial SSU rRNA". It matches the Rfam family "Bacterial small subunit ribosomal RNA", at positions 63 to 1430 of the family's 1533-position model. Lineage: Bacteria; Bacillati; Bacillota; Bacilli; Lactobacillales; Lactobacillaceae. The record is from RNAcentral.